UAGAGUUUGAUCAUGGCUCAGAUUGAACGCUGGCGGUAUGCUUAACACAUGCAAGUCGAACGGAAACGAUACUAGCUUGCUAGUAGGCGUCGAGUGGCGGACGGGUGAGUAACGCGUAGGAAUCUACCAGAUAGUGGGGGAUAGCCCGGAGAAAUUCGGAUUAAUACCGCAUAAUCUCUACGGAGUAAAGGAGGCCUCUAUUUAUAUGCUUUCGCUAUCUGAUGAGCCUGCGUAAGAUUAGCUAGUUGGUGAGGUAAAAGCUCACCAAGGCGACGAUCUUUAGCUGGUCUGAGAGGAUGAUCAGCCACACUGGGACUGAGACACGGCCCAGACUCCUACGGGAGGCAGCAGUGGGGAAUAUUGGACAAUGGGGGCAACCCUGAUCCAGCAAUACCGCGUGUGUGAAGAAGGCCUGAGGGUUGUAAAGC
Molecule: ribosomal RNA, 428 nt
Filed under: uncultured marine bacterium
Lineage: Bacteria
Description: bacterial SSU rRNA
Rfam family: Bacterial small subunit ribosomal RNA
Source: RNAcentral